GACGAACGCUGGCGGCGUGCUUAACACAUGCAAGUCGAACGAAAAUACCAAGCUUGCUUGGUUGAUUAGUGGCGAACGGGUGAGUAACACGUGAGUAACCUGCCCCUUACUUUCCUGGAUAACUGCUCGAAAGGGUAGCUAAUACGGGAUAUUCUGACCAGCCUGCAUGGGUUGGUUUGGAAAGGUUGUUUUUCUGGUAAGGGAUGGGCUCGCGGCCUAUCAGCUUGUUGGUGGGGUGAUGGCCUACCAAGGCUUUGACGGGUAGCCGGCCUGAGAGGGUGGACGGUCAGACUGGGACUGAGAUACGGCCCAGACUCCUACGGGAGGCAGCAGUGGGGAAUAUUGCACAGUGGGCGAAAGCCUGAUGCAGCGACGCCGCGUGCGGGAUGAAGGCCUUCGGGUUGUAAACCUCUUUCGUGAGGGAACAAGGCACUGCUUUUUUGGUGGUGUUGAGGGUACCUGGAUAAGAAGCGCCGGCUAACUACGUG
This 488-nucleotide ribosomal RNA is filed under the name uncultured bacterium. Its description in RNAcentral is "partial 16S ribosomal RNA". It matches the Rfam family "Bacterial small subunit ribosomal RNA", at positions 28 to 507 of the family's 1533-position model. The record is from RNAcentral.